AAAAAUGUGAUGAGCCACUUGUCUCUGGACUCCCCCAUGGGGCUUUCAGCAGCUCCUCUUCCAUCUCUGGUAGCUAUUCUCCCGGCUAUGCCAAGAUAAACAAGAGAGGAGGUGCUGGUGGAUGGUCUCCAUCAGACAGUGACCAUUAUCAAUGGCUUCAGGUUGACUUUGGCAAUCGGAAGCAGAUCAGUGCCAUUGCAACCCAAGGAAGAUAUAGCAGCUCAGAUUGGGUGACCCAAUACCGGAUGCUCUACAGCGACACAGGGAGAAAUUGGAAACCCUAUCAUCAAGAUGGGAAUAUCUGGGCGUUUCCUGGAAACAUCAACUCUGAUGGUGUGGUCCGGCACGAAUUACAGCAUCCGGUUAUCGCCCGCUAUGUGCGCGUAGUGCCUCUGGAUUGGAAUGGAGAAGGUCGCACUGGACUCAGAAUUGAAGUUUAUGGCUGUUCUUACUGGGCUGAUGUUAUCAACUUUGAUGGCCAUGUUGUAUUACCAUAUAGAUUCAGAAACAAGAAGAUGAAAACACUGAAAGAUGUCAUUGCCUUGAAAUUUAAGACGUCUGAAAGUGAAGGAGUAAUCUUGCACGGAGAAGGACAGCAAGGAGAUUACAUUACCUUGGAACUGAAAAAAGCCAAGCUGGUCCUCAGUUUAAACUUAGGAAGCAACCAGCUUGGCCCCAUAUAUGGCCACACAUCAGUGAUGACAGGAAGUUUGCUGGAUGACCACCACUGGCACUCUGUGAUCAUUGAGCGCCAGGGGCGGAGCAUUAACCUCACUCUGGACAGGAGCAUGCAGCACUUCCGCACCAAUGGAGAGUUUGACUAUCUGGACUUGGACUAUGAGAUAACCUUUGGAGGCAUCCCUUUCUCUGGCAAGCCCAGUUCCAGCAGUAGAAAGAAUUUCAAAGGCUGCAUGGAGAGCAUCAACUACAAUGGCAUCAACAUUACUGAUCUUGCCAGAAGGAAGAAAUUAGAGCCCUCAAAUGUGGGAAAUUUGAGCUUUUCUUGUGUGGAACCCUAUACGGUGCCUGUCUUUUUCAAUGCUACAAGUUACCUGGAGGUGCCCGGACGGCUUAACCAGGACCUGUUCUCAGUCAGUUUCCAGUUUAGGACAUGGAACCCCAAUGGUCUCCUGGUCUUCAGUCACUUUGCAGAUAAUUUGGGCAAUGUGGAGAUUGACCUCACUGAAAGCAAAGUGGGUGUUCACAUCAACAUCACACAGACCAAGAUGAGCCAAAUCGAUAUUUCCUCAGUAUACACUGGCAUCUUCACUGAAGUAUCUGCUAAUCUCUUUACUAGAACCUCUGUUCACAGUUUGAAGAGGUUAAUUUUGCUUCACUCAAAAUUGAAAUAUUUUCCUAUGAUGAAUCUACCUAUUCUAGCAUGUCCUUUCUUACCUGUGAUGGUAUAGAUUUUAUCCCAGCAGAACCUUACAAGUUUAUGUGAUGGGUAUUCAUUCCUUCUUCAUCAACAGGAACUCUAAUGCUGUUUCCAUUUUUAUGACCAAUCUGCUUUGACCUCCUUUCUGUUCCAGAACAAAAGGAGAGCACAGAAAGGGUGCAUAUUUUAUCAUAAUACUUCUUAAAGGCCUUGAAAUUGCAUAUUGCCUCCUAUAUGCUACCAGGGCAUAUGCUAUGAAUGGAAUUUUUACUCUUAAACAGAUCAACAACAAAAACUAUACCCAGUGUCCUGUUCCCUUAAGGCAAAAGGCAUUCUUGGCAAUCCAUCAACUCACUUUUUGCACACUCACAAAUAUUCUCUCUCAGUACUAAAGAUUUAUCAGUAUUCAACUCUGGGACAUG
RNAcentral lists this small RNA (1800 nucleotides) under Pongo abelii (Sumatran orangutan). Its description in RNAcentral is "processed transcript". Lineage: Eukaryota; Metazoa; Chordata; Mammalia; Primates; Hominidae. The record is from RNAcentral.